RNAcentral lists this unclassified non-coding RNA (339 nucleotides) under soil metagenome. RNAcentral describes it as "partial contains 5.8S ribosomal RNA, internal transcribed spacer 2, and large subunit ribosomal RNA". The stretch from base 1 to 120 matches the Rfam family "5.8S ribosomal RNA", at positions 35 to 154 of the family's 154-position model. The record is from RNAcentral.
GAUGAAGAACGUAGCGAAAUGCGAUAAGUAAUGCGAAUUGCAGAAUUCAGUGAAUCAUCGAGUCUUUGAACGCACAUUGCGCCCCCUGGUAUUCCGGGGGGCAUGCCUGUCCGAGCGUCAUUGCUGCCCUCAAGCACGGCUUGUGUGUUGGGCUCCGUCCCCCCGGGGACGGGCCCGAAAGGCAGCGGCGGCACCGAGUCCGGUCCUCGAGCGUAUGGGGCUUUGUCACCCGCUCUGUAGGCCCGGCCGGCGCCAGCCGACAACCCAUCAUCCUUUUCAGGUUGACCUCGGAUCAGGUAGGGAUACCCGCUGAACUUAAGCAUAUCAAUAAGCGGAGGA